GCAUCGGCCAGACAACCUUGAAUGUUUUUUACUGGUUGACCUCGGAUCAGGUAGGAAUACCCGCUGAACUUAAGCAUAUCAAUAAGCGGAGGAAAAGAAACCAACAGGGAUUGCCUCAGUAACGGCGAGUGAGCG
This 135-nucleotide ribosomal RNA is filed under the name Nephroma resupinatum. RNAcentral describes it as "partial large subunit ribosomal RNA". The stretch from base 37 to 135 matches the Rfam family "Eukaryotic large subunit ribosomal RNA", at positions 1 to 99 of the family's 3401-position model. Lineage: Eukaryota; Fungi; Ascomycota; Lecanoromycetes; Peltigerales; Nephromataceae. The record is from RNAcentral.